UACGUAGGUCCCGAGCGUUAUCCGGAUUUACUGGGUGUAAAGGGAGCGUAGGCGGCGCGUUAAGUCUGAUGUGAAAACCCGAGGCUCAACCACGGGAGUGCAUUGGAAACUGGCGGGCUGGAGUGCCGGAGAGGUAAGCGGAAUUCCUAGUGUAGCGGUGAAAUGCGUAGAUAUUAGGAGGAACACCAGUGGCGAAGGCGGCUUACUGGACGGCAACUGACGCUGAGGCUCGAAAGCGUGGGGAGCAAACAGG
RNAcentral lists this ribosomal RNA (253 nucleotides) under uncultured bacterium. RNAcentral's name for it is "partial 16S ribosomal RNA". It matches the Rfam family "Bacterial small subunit ribosomal RNA", at positions 524 to 776 of the family's 1533-position model. The record is from RNAcentral.